GGCGCUAUAGUGUAGUGGUUAUCACUUGGGAUUCUGACUAUGCGAGUUCCCAAAACCCAGGUUCGAGCCCUGGUAGCGCCU
This 81-nucleotide transfer RNA is filed under the name Trametes cinnabarina. Its description in RNAcentral is "Pycnoporus cinnabarinus tRNA". It matches the Rfam family "tRNA". Rfam says of the family: Transfer RNA (tRNA) molecules are approximately 80 nucleotides in length. Their secondary structure includes four short double-helical elements and three loops (D, anti-codon, and T loops). The record is from Rfam by way of RNAcentral. Lineage: Eukaryota; Fungi; Basidiomycota; Agaricomycetes; Polyporales; Polyporaceae.